RNAcentral lists this ribosomal RNA (483 nucleotides) under uncultured bacterium. RNAcentral describes it as "partial 16S ribosomal RNA". It matches the Rfam family "Bacterial small subunit ribosomal RNA", at positions 30 to 507 of the family's 1533-position model. The record is from RNAcentral.
UUGAACGCUGGCGGCAGGCCUAACACCUGCAAGUCGAGCGGAUGAAGGGAGCUUGCUCCUGGAUUCAGCGGCGGACGGGUGAGUAAUGCCUGGGAAUCUGCCUGGUAGUGGGGGAUAACGUCCGGAAACGGGCGCUAAUACCGCAUACGUCCUGAGGGAGAAAGUGGGGGAUCUUCGGACCUCACGCUAUCAGAUGAGCCUAGGUCGGAUUAGCUAGUUGGUGGGGUAAAGGCCUACCAAGGCGACGAUCCGUAACUGGUCUGAGAGGAUGAUCAGUCACACUGGAACUGAGACACGGUCCAGACUCCUACGGGAGGCAGCAGUGGGGAAUAUUGGACAAUGGGCGAAAGCCUGAUCCAGCCAUGCCGCGUGUGUGAAGAAGGUCUUCGGAUUGUAAAGCACUUUAAGUUGGGAGGAAGGGCAGUAAGUUAAUACCUUGCUGUUUUGACGUUACCAACAGAAUAAGCACCGGCUAACUUCGUG